Molecule: long non-coding RNA, 297 nt
Filed under: Brassica napus (rape)
Lineage: Eukaryota; Viridiplantae; Streptophyta; Magnoliopsida; Brassicales; Brassicaceae
Description: long non-coding RNA (BNAP_LNC025855)
Source: RNAcentral
AGGAGGAACACGAUGUCACCAGGGCCCAGGUUAGAGUGUUGUGUUAGUGUGUCAUAGAGGGUUAUGGGAUCCUCGAGUUAGGGUAGCACCGAUAUACGGUGUUACGUGUUAGAUCGAGUCGUAGUUAUAGUUAUUAUUGUGAUUGUGGUUGAUUGAUUUGCUUGCAGGUUCUGACAUUAAGUCCUAAGUCUGGUUUAGGUACCGGAUUAGGCUUGGUGUGUAUUUGGUUAUUGUAGGCCCGACGUUGUCCUGUAUGUGUUUGAGGGAUUGCUUGUGAAGGGUGGUGGAUAUUAAAGC